Pteropus alecto (black flying fox) is the source of this 1174-nucleotide long non-coding RNA. RefSeq lists it as uncharacterized. Lineage: Eukaryota; Metazoa; Chordata; Mammalia; Chiroptera; Pteropodidae. The record is from RefSeq and is a predicted model, not a curated record. The transcript has 2 exons.
UCCUCUCGCCUCCCUCGCCGAUGGUGGCAGCGGCGGCAGCGGCGACUCAGACCCUGGGGUCAGGGGGACGGGCGCCCAGGCCGGAAGUGACCUUCCUGGCCGCUUCCGCCCGCGCCGCUCCCCCCUCCGCUUUCCACCCCCACUCCGGCCGCCACCCCGUCCUCGCCGCUCUAGGAAAGCGAGCCCGCAACCCCCCUAGCCGCGGCCCCCUGCUCUAUGGUGCGAGCGGGUGGGCGUCCAGGGAGCCACUUCCGGGCACGUCUAGGACGCGGGUCCUCCGCCCGCGCUCUAUGGCACCACGCGCCGAGGGGCAGCAGCCCCGCCCCCUCCCCGGACCGGAGGCGCGGGCCCGACCCGUUAGGCGGAAACUUCCGGUGUCUGGGGAGGUGCCCUCCUCCCCUCGGGGCUCGGGCCCUCGCGCCUGCGCAGCCCUCUCCCCUCUCCGGUCGCGGGCUGGAGCUGUGCAGAUAGUGGCGCAGGCCGCUCGUGCCACCCGGGUCCUCCAGCCGUCUCUAUUGCUGUAACCCGUUCCCUGCCGACGCUCCCCACAGUGGCCGGCGCCUGCGCUGGAGGGCUCAGUCCUUUGCGACUCCGCACCUUGCGUUACCGGACAGAGAGCGUGCUGGCCUCCGGCGCCGGCCCAAGUCCGUGUGUUUCCCCCUUUCUAAAUGGCCCAAAGGUGAGAAGGGACAGCUUCGUCCUCAUUCCUGUGCCCCACUCCCAGCUGGCCAAAGCGAGAACCUAAAGGUGAGAUCUGGAGCAGAUCACAAUGUUGGAAGCUGUGUAUUGAAGACAGUGGAUCAAUAAGCUGCAAGGAGCAAGACAGACCCGACGUAGUACGUGAGAAAUGACUUUCUGAUUUAAGCCAUGGGUCUUUCAGAGUCUCUCUUUAGCCAAACCAAAGUUGGGACAUUUCCCAAACAUAGAAUGGGGCUGCAGCAGAGAUGGCCAACUCUCCACCAAAACCUGCUCUUCCCUUCCAAAGGGUGGAAUUACUCACGGGGCACUGCCCCCAAUUAGGGUCAGCGUUGACCAGUCCUCCUGGUAUCUGAGUGUGACCUUGUGAUUGGUUCUCACCAGCGAUGAACCUGGAAGGGGACCCCCACCAGAAGGUAACUUGAUCUUGGACUUUCAGGCUUCGGAACUGUGAGCAAUAAAUCUCUGUUGUUUACAA